Molecule: long non-coding RNA, 593 nt
Organism: Rhipicephalus sanguineus (brown dog tick)
Lineage: Eukaryota; Metazoa; Arthropoda; Arachnida; Ixodida; Ixodidae
Exons: 2
Source: RefSeq, a predicted model, not a curated record
UGAGAUAGAAGAAAUCUUUGUUUUCUGAGUUGCUCAUGCGCAAUUGCAUAAAGCUUUCUACUAGCGCAAAGUAUACUUUAGGCAAUAUUCGUUUAGUAUGAGAAACUUCGCUGGCUUCAGGAUUCAUUUCGUAUUCGCCACGUUCGCACUCAUUCUUUCCCUAACACAAAACGGGGGACCUUCAGUGGCUGUAGCACUUCCAAGUACCGAAAUUGUCGCAAGUGCCAUAUUGCUAGCUGAUAGGAAUGUAUAUCCUUCAGAUAAGGGACCGCGUCACCACGCACUUAGAGGGCCUUACUAUCAAGACUAUAUGAAAGUACCCAAGCGGCGCAAGAAAAAUAGGUCACCAAACGGACCAAUCCCGCAACCACCAAGAAGACCGCCACACAGAAGGCUUGGCGCGUAAUGCCAAAACAAAUAUUGCACUUCAAAUACAAGUUUUCUCUAGGAGCUGAUUUUACCAAGAGGAGGAAUCAAAGCUGCUCUGAUAAAAACAGGGGUGGGGCGAAGAACUCAAAUAUGCCAACCAUGAUGUUAUUUUUAUGAUUUAUAAGCCAUAUUUCGAAUAAAGCAGGCUUUGUUUGUCUGGUCGA